RNAcentral lists this unclassified non-coding RNA (337 nucleotides) under soil metagenome. RNAcentral's name for it is "partial contains 5.8S ribosomal RNA, internal transcribed spacer 2, and large subunit ribosomal RNA". The stretch from base 1 to 120 matches the Rfam family "5.8S ribosomal RNA", at positions 35 to 154 of the family's 154-position model. The record is from RNAcentral.
GAUGAAGAACGUAGCGAAAUGCGAUACGUAAUGUGAAUUGCAGAAUUCAGUGAAUCAUCGAAUCUUUGAACGCACAUUGCGCCCCUUGGUAUUCCAUGGGGCAUGCCUGUUCGAGCGUCAUUUGUACCUUCAAGCCUUGCUUGGUGUUGGGUGUUUGUCUCGCCUCUGCGCGCAGACUCGCCUCAAAACAAUUGGCAGCCGGCGUAUUGAUUUCGGAGCGCAGUACAUCUCGCGCUUUGCACUCAGAACGACGACGUCCAAAAGUACAUUUUUACACUCUUGACCUCGGAUCAGGUAGGGAUACCCGCUGAACUUAAGCAUAUCAAUAAGCGGAGGA